Molecule: long non-coding RNA, 11107 nt
Organism: Bombus terrestris (buff-tailed bumblebee)
Lineage: Eukaryota; Metazoa; Arthropoda; Insecta; Hymenoptera; Apidae
Exons: 2
Source: RefSeq, a predicted model, not a curated record
CUUUUCUUUCAAUUUUCCUCCUUUGUCUCUUUCAGAAGUCUGUCGAAGAAAUCGCAAGCAUGUUACUUUCGAAUUGAUACCGAGAAAAUAAUUGAAGAAACGCUUGAUAUGUUUUAUUCAACUGAAUCAUCAAUUUGAAUAAUUUCAAAGUUAUCAUCAAAAGAAGACCGAUUAAAUAUAUAAAAUUAUACAAAAAUUCCAAAAUUGAAAUAUCUAAUUAAUUGAAUAUCUAGAGAAGUUUACAAAUUAUAUCGAAAUUCAAGUAGACGUACUAUCUAUGAUUCAUCAUUCAUUAUUCUCGCGUCAUUAACAUUUUAAAUUAGGAAUGUCGGUGGGAAAAAAGAUAAAUCCGUUUCUGACAAACAGAUCGGAGAUCGUAUCUCGCACAAUCGAUAUACUAACGCUCGGACGUGUCUCGCCUUCGUUUCAUCUAAUACUCACGAGAUUAGUAUUCGUUGCUGCUUGAAAGGUCGUCAAAAUUCACGUGUUGUUACAAGCAAACCCGACGACUCAUUACGAAGAACUCUAUAACUUUUUGAAUCUAUAUUCUCGCUCGCGAAAUAACGUUCUUCCGACGAUUCUUCUCUACAAGAAAUCUUUAUUACUUUGCUCUCUACCAACAGUAAGCAGACGCAAAUUUCGCAAGUCUUGGUUCGUUGGGCUAAUUGACUCUUGAAAGGAGCAAAACCUCCUUCGUGUAAGUCUCGAUCGGCUCGAAAGUAGGUUAUAGACACCGCGUAAGAAGAAAAAGAAGAAAAAAGGCGAGACGGUCCUCCCGUUGGUCGUCGUUGUCGCUUGUCGUAAUUGGUAUGCAGGUGUGAAGAUAUCUGAAGUUACGAAACGUUACCUUGACCGCUUGGCCAGGUCAUUGUGAGUCAUUUAACCGGGAAUAAUUGAUCGUGGGCAAGGGAUCUAUCUCAUAAUUAUAUUACUUCGCGCAACACUUUUUAUAAUUGCUUCCCAUUUCGAGCAAAUUCAUAGAUUAGUAUGUAAAUAUUCGUUUUUAAAUACCUAUGUAUAAAGCAAAUUUUCUUAUUGCACAUCAGGAAAAAAAGGUUUAUGAGAUAUUUGAAUAAUUGUAUAGCUUGUUCACAAAAACUUAUAUUUUUCUUUAUUCUUUUAAAAACUAGAUCUUUAUACGUAUUUUAGGCAGAAUUUGAUUUUUAGUAGCCCAUUGAUACAAUGGGUGAGAUUAAUAAAGCGAAGAUUUAUGAGUUUUAAAAAAUUUCAAUUACUAUUCAAAAGUAUUAACGUAGUUGGCGUGGUAACGAUUUUCGGAAUACGACGGCUUAAAUAUGCAAAACUACGCAAAGCAUUCAUUGUAAUAUUUAAAAGGUAACACGAAUCUUUAUUUAGAUUCCGCAUCUAUAAUUAUUAUGAUAAGCACCUACAAUUUAUUCAUUGUAAAACACUUCUUCUACCUACUUGAUUUAUUAUGCGAAGGAAGUAAAAUCACUUCGAUUCAUUAUUAACAAAUUAACAAGAAUUAUCUUCAUCCGUAAGUAUAAUUAGUCGCAAGUGCUUGACUUUUAAAUUCUUACGCAAUUUCUGUUUCUCGAGUGCAUAUUGUUCUUCCCAUUGAUUCCCGUUACAUACAUGCAGCUUGUGCGGUUUCUUCAAAGCGAUAACAGAUAUUUCCUGAACUAUCCAUCUUUGGUCAAAAGCACAGUUAAGAAGAAAAAGAAGCUUCAAUAGCUUUAGAAUAACCGUCGAAGAUAUAUCCUGCACAAUGCAUACAGUUGAGAACGAUCUUCUUCCCCCGCCGUGGUCACGUUUUAUUACGCGACCGGUUGAUUUAUGCUUGACGCCCGCCGACCCUCGAUAAAUUCAUUAAACCACGCGUAUUCGUGCGAUCGCGGGCGUAUUUGUUACGCGCAGGGCUAGUCUCUGUUAACCUUGCGAGUGUGCCUUGGAUUUUAUUCGAACCAUGCCACGGACCAUGCAGCAACAAUGGUGGAGCACGUAUCCGAUUGUUAAUGGAAACUCGAUUAAUCAGAAUGAUGAUGAUCGUCUGCAAUAGUACUCUCGUGUAUUGCUAUUUAGUAUGAAAGAACAGCAAUUCAUAAGAUUAUCUUAUGUUGUUACAAUUUUUUUCUUUGGAUUCUUGUUGAGUACGUUCUUCUUUUUCUAAUUAUAUACAUCUUAUAAUUCGAUGAGACGUGAGAAAGUUAAAAUAUUCGUAAAAUUAUAAUAUGUUGAUUUUCUUUCAAUUGUAGAUAUUCUUGUAUCCUCGGCUCGUUUAGUAUACAUCUAAGAAGUUUCUGAUAUAUCUUUUAUACUUAUACUUAAGUUAUACUCUUUUACCAGUUGACCAUUAAUCACUUCAUUACAGCUUCUGUGUGUUAUGUGUCCUUUCAGAGAAUUCCCUUACAUUAAGAAAUCGACAAAUGUUUGCUUCAUCUUUAAAUUUAAACGAAACUCCAAUAAAUACGAAUAUUAUUCAUUAUUCGCUAUCUGAUACGAAUGAAUUUGUCGUCAACAUCGGUUCUAGGGAAUUACUGAUUAAUUUAAACGUACGUAAAAUAAAUGAAACGUCAAAGAUAAGCAAUAUUUUCCUCGUUGAUUUCUAAUUCGAAGACGAUAGUGACUCGUUUCUCGUGGAAGCGAUGAAUUUUCCCGGUAAGGCGCCAACAGAGAAGAGUCAUGGUGACAAGGGCAGAGUAUUUUCGAAUUCCAAACUCGCAGGCAAAGGUGACCAUGUAAAACUGUGAGGGUCGAUCGCGGAGGUAUAGACUGUAGAAUUGUUCAUCGAGGACAGCGUUUGCUUGUCGGAACACACGAAUGUUACGUAAGUUACGUGACAAUAUAUGUAAUAAUUUCCACUCGAUCCUGUGCAAUUAUUGAUAAACUCAAUGUAAGAAUUAUUAAUAAAUUUGAGUCACCAGCUGCUUGUACGUGUGUCUUUCUCAUCCUUGAUAGUUUCGAUAGUUGCUUCGAUCGUUCUUUUGGCAAUAAUGUACCAUAAUGAAAAACACAUUAAUCGACAAGUUGCUGUGUCCUUAAUGCUGGUCGUUGGCAGAUAUUUGAAAAUCAAUCGUACUUGAACGAUGGUUAGUAAGUAAAGUUUCUUAAUAAUUUACUAUGUUUUGAAAAACUCAUUAGGAUCAAUAAACGUCAUAUCGCUAAUGGAUCUUUAAGAAUUUUAUAAACAUGUAGAUAUAUCUAGAAUCUUCAUUUCGUAAUGCUUUUUCGACUGGAUUCUAAUGUAACGAAACCAUUGAAUUAAUAGAUAUAUCUCCAAUGAAAAAAGCAUAAAAAUACUUUUUGCUAAUGAGGCUGAUUGCUACUGAAAAAUAAAAUUACAAAAACAAAUUCUGAUGCCAGACAUUGAUUAAUCCUAUAAGGCCGUUAGUGAGAGAGAGUGAGAGAGAGAGAAGAGAAAGAGAGACCCAUCAAAUGUAGCAAUAUAAAUUUCACAUUUUAAAUGUCAUCUGUAUCUAACACAAUUAUUAAUAUUUAUUUCUUAUAUGUAAUUAAAAUAAUGUACUUUUGCAUCCCAUACAAUGGAAAUCUGAGAAAUUGCCUUUCUAAAUCUGAAUUCUUCGUCGUUUUAUCAAAGGAUUAAAAAACGAACGAUGUCCUCGAGAAUUCCGUAACAGCUUUAAAACAGAACCUUUACCAUCGAUCGACCGAUGGUUGAUCGACGUUAUGCGUGUCAAGUUCACCGACUCGUUCGAAAAACUUACUUAACAAGCAUGUUACGAGUUGCAACGAGCGAGAUGAAAGGCAACGAAUCGAAAGCUCAUUCAUAGCCUGGCAUUUUACCGAGCAAAUAUUACAUCUGCCUGCGUAUCGGUGAACGGUUGCCGGCACUAAAUAGCUCUCCCGGUUUCAUUGUGCAACAUGUAAUCGCGAUUGAAUCGAGAGAGAGAGAGAGAGAAAGAGAGAAGAGCUUGUGGUCCAGGUUACGAAAGGUAAACCAACCGGUGAUGUAAUGUUGCGAGUCGAUUGCAAGAUUCCUUCUUCGACGGGAGAAGCAAGUUAACCGGGUGGUGAUCGUCCGCUCGAGACGAAAUCUUCUCAUGAUCCUCGCUAUUUAGUUCCCGUACUUCUUAACGAUGUUAAAGCUUUCGAAACUUGUACGUAUCUCGAUAAUUGCCGUGUUUCGCAAUUCCACGUUUCAAUUUAGUUGUUUGGUGAUUGCUACAUUGUAAAUGUAGGAUGGAAGUACGAAAAUGAUUCGAAAUAAUGUAUCUAGGAUGAUACGGGCGAAUAUACUUAAUAGUGAUAUUAGUAAUUAGCAACGUCGAUAUAAGUAACGUAUGAGUUUUAUAGCAAAUCCAAUGAAGUAGAGAAGUUACAAAGUAGAUUUCUAUUUACUUUUAACGUAACAUAUGUUAUCAUCAUUUGUGUACAUAUUUCGUGAAUAUUUUACUUUCUUGUUAUAUUAUGUUUCUAAAAGGUAUCUUUCCUCGUGGCGUUGAAUUAUGAAUAACAUCAGAAUGUAUGUUCCAUAACUUCAGGUAGCAUAGUGAGGACCUUGUUCUUAUUUUUUGGCUCCCAUCUUGUAAAUUCCAGCCUUGUUCCCAUAUACCAGCCUUGUUAUAAGCUCAAGAUGUAUAUGAGUAUGAAUAAACUUGGUAGGCACUUAGUGAAUCAUCAACGUAAUAAACGAGUUAUUAAAAGAGCUAAUUCCAUUAAAGGGACGUUAAUAAUAAUUUAAUUACUCGUUAUACAAGAUGAACUUUAUAAAAGAAAUUAUCAUAUUCAUCUGGAAUCUAGAACAGCAAUUAUUUCUUCAUUGGUUCGGGGCUCCAGCUAUCUUACUUUCGUUUCUUAAAAUUCUUUCUUUCAUUUCUUUGAACGUAUUUUUAAGCCCCAGUUUUAGUAUCACGCGAACGUGACAGAUUUUAUUACGGUAUCACAUGUCCAAGAACCAUGUCGUUAUUAGACAACUAUACCACGUACGUUCAAACUAAUAUUUAAGAUAAAAACAUUCUUACUCCCUUUUCCAAGCAACAGAUAGCAGCAAUCUCCUUCAAUUUCAAUCUCAUUUCUAUCAUUUUGAACAUGCUGGGCUUCUUUUUUGAUGAUCUUGCAUCUAUCAUAUUAUAUCCAUCGUAUUUUGCUAUCGCUAACGAAUCUUUUAUUUGGAGGAAAAUAUAUAAACCAAUGAAGUAUGAAAUCUACGUAGAAAUUCGUUUCACCUAUCAAAUAUUAUAGCGAAUGCCGUAUAUUGGAUAUAUCAUGCAUUUUUAUAUUUUUUAACUUUCUAUAAAUGCAUAAAUCGUUUUAAUAAGCAUACGUUCUCGUUUCAAUUUUCGUUUUCAAUCUCAAAUAAACGUUAAAAUAAAUCCUCUUCCUUCAGGUCUCCAACUUCUUUUGUUCCAUCGUUUCUCUUUUUGCAUUUUUUGCUAUUCCUCUCGUGACGUGGUCUAUUCUCAAGCAAAUAGAGUGCGUCGUUUUCGGGAAAUUUUUUUUGCAGGCACAUACUUACGAGCAUCGUAGCGUGGCGUCGCACAUAAUGCAACAUCCUGUCGAAUCAUUGCCUUUGUAUUACGUAAAACGCCGCCCGGUAUACGAGGGCAGGAUAAAGAGAGAGGAGGAGAAAAACGCACACUGCAGCGCCGUUCUUUUUCUCCUCCUCCUUCUCUUUUUCACUUCUUUUUCGGUCUUUUUUCUAUUAUUAUACGCGUGUCCCUGGCCAAUUGCACAGAAAUGAACUCGCCGACUGCAAUUACCCUCGCGAGUGAGUUCUCGACCGCCUCCUACUUUCAUUCGUGUUCCCACAAUACAUAAUAGGCUGUAUUGUUAGAAAAGAAACUAGACUACUCCUCUUCCUUUUACCAACUGGAAGUAAAUUCUUCUCCUUUUCUUUUCAUAUAUAUAUAUAUUUUUUGCUCGUCUAUAUCCCGUUACGUCGUCUGUAGUCGCUUCAUUGAAUAUGUAAUAGUAACUGACCUGCUUGUAAGUUUUCUCCAAGGAAUCAUAAACGAAGAACGCAGAAGAAAAGCACAACUUCUCGCGUGAAAACAGUUUUAAAAUACAAUCUCUGUCAGUCAGCCUCAUAUUACCAAAAAACUGUCUUGUUAUUAAAUUUGUUUACGGAGUUCUGUGAAAAAAUAUUUACGUGAAAAGUGUUACUUUCUCAACAGUAUCGUUUCUCUUUUUAACUACAUUAUACUAAGCUACGUUCUUUUAAUUACCAAACAACAUAAAAACCAGGAAACCAACAACAUCAUACUCAUAUUUUCUUCCUUAUAAUCUCCAUACAAAGUCAGUUAAGCUUCUGGAGGAAGCGUACAAAGUAGAGGAUUUGUUCAUCGAUCUCUUUAUCGAAUCCCAAAUGAAGAAGAACGGCGCCCUUGAAAUUUUAAAUUACAAUCGCGUUGAUUUAAACUUCUCAUUCAACGCAUUUAGCCGUGUGAAGAAUCGAUUUUGAUGUGCUGAUCGAAGCACACAGUGAAGAAUCUAUUUUAAGAAAUCGAUUUAUGCGAUCGAUAACGCGGUUUGAGAAUCGGACGAGAAACGUCAGAAUAAUUUUGGAAAAAGGACACGGUACUCGGGAAGCCUUAAACGGGAACGAUCAUAAAAUACUGUAACGUGUAAGGUAACGGUUCCUGCCGCGUAAAAAGAACGGUUUCUCGUUUGGUUGCCAAAGUCACAGUACAUGUCAGUUAGUGCCAGAGUUUAGAAAUGUGCUCACGUAAGAAAUUAUACGUUCUACCUACUAUUGGUGAUUUAUGAUCCUCUCAGAACUGUAGUUUCGUAGGUAAUGAUUACACUUGUGCUUUUUUUUAGAACAGGUUUUAAACAGAGAGAUUAUUCGUUUAAAAAGAACCAAUUGUUACAUUCAAAUGGUUUUUCUGUAGCUAAGAAUUUUUCAGAUAUUACAGAAAAUACGUUUCAGAUCCAUCAAGAGUUGUUUUCAUCCCCUUCGAUAUGGAUCUUGGAUUUUCAUUAAAAUUUAGCCAUUUACGUUUGAAAAUGGUCAAGAAGUUAUCAAUUCUAAAAAUGUUAUACCGAGCUACCACAGUCUUGAUCUUUUUAUAUUUCCACCUUUUUCAUAUUUUCCAAGAAACGAUAAUUUCUUGUAAUUGGCAUUGUCUAAUAAUCGUCUUUAAAAAUCUACAUUUCUCAAUGUCAGUUCUGAGUCUCCACUCCUCUCUUCACUUUUCUUUAUUUUCGUGGCUACCGUAUCCAGCUUCGCAGUACAAAGUUAACAAUGGCGAUAAUAAAUUAUUAUUGUUAUUAUUAUUAUCUAUUUAAUUCUGGCUUUUUGCUUUGAAUGACUUUCAGUUAUCGGCCUUGCAACCGUGCAUAAUCUUUACCCAAUACAACAAUAAUGAUAGUGAAUUAUAAUGAAUAAAGAAGUAUGGAAUUCAAUAAAAAUUGCAUAGGUCGAGAAAACAAAGACUCUUCGAAGUGGAAGGAAAGGAAAGGAAAAGCGAACGGGCACAACGCAAAUAAGAGAAAUUUACGUCAACUUGCUCAAGGCAUUUUUGCACCUACAAUGACCUACAUAGAUCUGUUGUUUCUCUAGUAAAUACAAGAGUUUCUUCUUCAAGAAAAUAGAAGCGUACACUAACUAACGACUAUUUUUGCAUAGUACGCAUCUUUUCCAUCUCUUUUAAGCUUUUGUAAAUUUACACACGACAAAUAUUUAUGCCAUUUGUAUCCACUCAGAAUUGACAGAAUUUAUAUUUUAUCCCGCACGACUUAUUUUUUCUUUUUCCUGUUUUCCUUUCAUUUCUUGGAAGCUAUCAUAGAACUGAUAUGAACAAAAAAUGACCGUGUUUUUUUUAUCGUUAGUUAAUUACAGAUAUCAUGUAUAUCGCAAUUAAUUUAAUUAAAUUAAAAAAUCGCAAAUUUAAUUAAAUUAAAAAAUAAGUUAUUACGUGUAAAAAAAUGUAAUGAAUGUUUAUCUAUAUUCGCACGAAAUUGAUGAUAAUAGUAAGAAACCUAGUUCAUCAAAUGUACUGCGUACGUCUCGAAUGCAUAUUUUUUUUACGAUAUACUUUAUAAUACCGACUUGAUAAAGUCUUUUUAAAUACUGAAAAUCCAAUCAGCAAUGAAGGCGUUAACCUAUUAAUGAAAUUGCUUCCUAGUCAAAAAAUUCUAUACUCGUAGAAUUAAAAUUUAACAAAAACGAAUCAAUUUUAGUUAGACCAAUUUUGAUUCUUACAAUUCCUAGGAAAAUUGAAACAACACAUAAAAAUUAGAAAAUAAAGAAAUUACUAUAUUGUAAAGAUUGAAUGAGUUAAUAUUGUUCGUGAUAAUAUUCGCGGUAAAAAUUCUGUUUGCUAAAAGGUCAACAAGAAUCAACAAGCAAAAUUAAAAAAGCGGAAAAAAAUUCCGAGUGAGCCUAAUGAAGACUGUAAACUGCACAGAACGACGAGUUUUAAAGAUUAAAAACGCAGCGGAGAAUUGUAAAUGAGUCGUCAAAUGGUUGGAGCAAUUAAUGGCUGCGGCUUGCUUUCGCAUAUAUUGUACUGCAAACGUUUGCUUGUGGAAGCACUAAAGAGUUGCAACAAUAGGAGCAAAAUAAAAGUCAAUGCUUUUACACUUCAUGGUCACACGAGCAAUUAUCAUCUCCCCUUUGUUCCUUUCGUUCAAGUGAGAACCAUAAACUUUUAAAUUAUUGGCCAUAUUUUCAUUUACGAAACAGUUUUUUAAUUGUAAUUUAAUGUAAAGUGUAAUUUAAAUUGAAAUAAUUCGAUUGCAUUAUUUUGAUCUGUUUUUCUUGAUAAAGAAUUAACGCAGUAUUUGGAAGAGAUAGACAAUUUUUUGCUCGAAUUAUUAAAAUUAGUCUUUGACAUAUUUACAAAUUUUCAAGUGCUUCUAAACUUCUGCAUAUGCACCGAUCUCUUUCCUUUUCCUGCAACAUCGCCUUCUACUGAUACUAAUAAUAUCAUACUUGUUAAUUCAAGGACGAAUAAUAUCAUACUUUCGUAAUAAAUCUAUUGCAAUAGAAAGUUCCAUUAACUGAGCAUGGCCGAGUAAAAUCAUAGAAACAAAUCUACAGAAAGGAAAUCUUAACUCAAGUAUCCAAGACCUCUUAAAAUACCAAAAAUAAAGCUACUUGAAUCGAAUCUCGGCUCAGACCAUCGAUCCACCAAAAUGCAGUGCAAUGUUGAAAGAUAAACAGAUGAGAAUAAAAUACAAGAUAUCUUAACUAUAAGAUAGAUUUACCUUCUAAGAAGAUUAUAGGAUAUUUAAUUAUAUCUUAAUCGGUCUUAUCUACAUUUAAAAAAUACGAGUAAAUUAUAAUAAUCCUUUCUUUAAUCUGUGAUCCUUUUAAAAAUACACUGCUAAAAUACAGAGCCCAUUUACAUCCUCUUAAUUGAUUCACCAUUCUUACAAUAUACUUAAUUGCUCUGUAUUCUCUAAAAAUUAUCAUCGAGCUGCCUCAAAUCGAUUAUUUGACAUUACUACUAGCCAAGCCUGUUGGUCGACAAAGGUUUAAGAUCUUUCUUGGCACAACUAUGAUGUUAAAUUUUAUUGAAAUAGAAGUAUAAUUAUAUACCAGACUAUGGAUAUUUAUACAAACUCAUUUGUUUGGUAAUCUAGUCGUAAAUUUGUCCUCUAGUCAGUGAAUCUACUCGCAAAUUUGUUUCACCUAUCAAUAAUAUAAAAAAUAUUGUACUUUGGUUAGUUACAUAUUUUUAUACCGAGCGUGCAUUGUAUUUAUUUUUUCAUCUUUAAAUUCCCACGGAUGCAUAAAAAUCCGUAGUCUAACAAUCAGAUAGAUCUCAUUAUUUUCAUAACUGUUUUUUCUUAUUAUACGCUACUUUAUCCGUAUAAUAUAUUUCAGCGAAUAUGCUUCUAACGUAGACAGAUACUGCCUUUCUCCGUAAUCCUCCAGUAUCUCUGGCUAACUAUAAUCUAUCAUUUUUGUGGAGUAAUGCCUCCAGUUUCCGUGGCGACCGGACAUGAUUGAAGCGCGGUUGCGUGUUCACCAGCCGGCUUAUUCCACGAGAGGAUUUCGACAUCGUCUGCUCAAGGCUAGGAACUAUUACACGUACAUAUGACUGAUCGCCAGUCACCGGUUUUGGAUCGGUUUCUCCGUGUUGUUGCGAUCGCCCGAGCAAAACGAUACGAAGAAUGCUACUAGUCGUAGCGUACCAACAUCUUGUAUAAAAUGGAAUAACAAGAAAACCCCGGCUUGUCGUACGUGACUCUCUGGGCGUAGAACAAUCAAGGUCGAUAGAAACGAUCAUAUGCCAUUUAUGUAGGCCUUUCUGUUUCUGCGGAUAUAUUUAUCCUGAUAUAUCACGCGUUCUUUUCUGUUCUAAUCGAACGUGUGCUUCGAGUAGAUUUUUACGCUCGAUCUUAUGUUUCUUAUCGUUAUGUAUAUAACGGGCAACAACAAUGAAUUGACGCUAUAUAUCAAUUGCGUCACGCAAUAUCAGAAGCUAAAUUGAUUAAGUCCAUUUUCUGAAAGUAUCGUUGUUUUAGUGUCACAAUUACAUGAUUCUUUACAGACUAAAGAAUUAACUUCGAUGGAGUUCUCAAUUAUAAUCGAACAUGUAUAGGGAACGUAUUAUGGUAGAUUUUAUUAUUAUUAUUAUAACCGAUAUUAUAAUCUCAAGAAACGAAAUAAUCUGCUAUUGUCGCGUAUACAUACAUAGAUGUUUGUAAAGUGAUCCCAUGUUUUAGAUUUGUAUAUAUGUACGUUUGAUAAAAAUAGCGUAGUUGGUACGGUGGGAUGAACUUCACUGUAUGUGCAAUGAUGAUGACUAACUUGAUAUAUAUCUUGAUCUAACUGAAGAAUUCACUUUUAUUUAUUGGAUUUUUAAGUAAGUCAAGGUCAGUGUGUAGACGGUCAGUGUAGAUCAGUAGAAGGUUGGUACCUGGAUUCAUUGCUCUACAAAAAUUAGAUAAAUCUUGAUCUCUUAUCGUUUCUUGCAAUGAAGCAAUAAUCAAGGAAAAGUUAGACACGGUAUUUUUAAUAACUAAAAAGAUAUAUAUAUACAUAAAAUAUUUAAAAUAAAGUACUCAAUAUAAUAUUUAGUACAUGAUGCAAAUCUCACUGCAUUUGAAAUCCGGUUAUGAUGAUCAGUUCUCUCUAUCGUCUAAAUUCUAUAAACUUUCCAUAAACGAAGGAAGUGAUAAUCUAGUUUUUCAACACGAGUUUAUGUAUCUAUUUAAGUAUUCAAGUUUGUAA